AUCUUUUACCAAUAGGAACAAUAAGAACAAUUCGAUGAAUGGCGGUUUUAAUGGUGCCAAGGGACCCAAUUCUGCAAACUUGCCUCCUGCUCCUCCCCUCUUGGAUGAU
Molecule: non-coding RNA, 109 nt
Filed under: Striatella unipunctata
Lineage: Eukaryota; Bacillariophyta; Striatellaphyceae; Striatellales; Striatellaceae
Source: RNAcentral